UUGCUAUGAUGCUUCAAAUGUCUGACCUGAAUUCAAUGUGGACACUGUUAUACUGACAUG
This 60-nucleotide small nucleolar RNA is filed under the name Leptobrachium leishanense (Leishan spiny toad). The record is from RNAcentral. Lineage: Eukaryota; Metazoa; Chordata; Amphibia; Anura; Megophryidae.